ACCGGAUCUCAGAUUAAGUAAGAGUACCCGCUGAAUUUAAGCAUAUAAUUAAGCGGAGGAAAAGAAACUAACCAGGAUCCCCCUAGUAAGGGCGACUGAAGCGGGGAUAGCUCACCGUGUGAAUCUGUGCAACGCUUGCUAUUAAGUGAGUGUGCACCGAAUUGUGGUCUGAAGAGGUAGCAUCGGCCGUCGUCCCGGGCCAAGUCCCUUGGAAAAGGGCAGCUGAGAGGGUGAGACUCCCGUUCUUGCCUGGGAACCGAUGUGUCAUAGCAUGCGCCUUCUACGAGUCGAGUUGCUUGGGAUUGCAGCUCAAAGCGGGUGGUAAAUUCCAUCUAAAGCUAAAUAUUGGUGGGACACCGAUAGUGUACAAGUACCGUGAGGGAAAGAUGCAAAGAACUUUGAAAAGAGAGUUAAAGAGUACCUGAAAUUGUUAAAAGGGAAGCGAAGGAAUCCAGUGUAAAGCGAAGCCAUUCUUCUCAAGCCACUUGUGGUUUGGGCGCUGUGGUUAGCUGUACUAAUUCUGGGCUUGACCUGGGACAAACGUUUAGUAAGUAGACGACUCCUCGGAGUGAGUGCUUGCUCUUCAUGUUCUGGGUCGGGCUGAGGUCAGUCACUCUGUGCUCGUGAUGAAUUAGGAAAUGGAUUUCUUUACCCCGUCUUGAAACACGGACCAAGGAGUCUAA
RNAcentral lists this ribosomal RNA (683 nucleotides) under uncultured Skeletonema. RNAcentral describes it as "eukaryotic LSU rRNA". It matches the Rfam family "Eukaryotic large subunit ribosomal RNA", at positions 1 to 678 of the family's 3401-position model. Lineage: Eukaryota; Bacillariophyta; Thalassiosirophyceae; Thalassiosirales; Thalassiosiraceae. The record is from RNAcentral.